GCCAUGGUAAUUCGUACCCGCCUCUACGCUUGGGAAGCUCCUUUAUGGCCUUUCUCCAGGCUUUCAGACUUGAGUCUUGGACUUUUGAAGUACAGCACCAGCUCUCCUGGACCUCUAGCUUGUAGCAGGACUUCUCAGCUUCUAAAAAAGUGGAGAUGAGCACACAGAUUCACUCAGAGGAAAGACCAUAUGAAGAUAGAAUGAAUGUAUACAAGCCAAGAAGAGAUGCCUGCAGAAGAAACUAACCUUGAUGACACCUUGAUCUUAGACAUCUAGCCUCC
Long non-coding RNA from Hyaena hyaena (striped hyena), 281 nucleotides. RefSeq lists it as uncharacterized. The transcript has 3 exons. The record is from RefSeq and is a predicted model, not a curated record. NCBI's taxonomy places the organism in Eukaryota, Metazoa, Chordata, Mammalia, Carnivora, Hyaenidae.